UAAUUAAAAUUCAAAAUUACUAAUGGAAAGUAUAUCGUGUGAAAAUGGAAUUUGAGCGUGGUUGCUUGAUUUUCAUUUUGUUCCAUGCUCAUUUUCUCUUUUUUCCCAAAUGAGAGGCGCUGAGUUAGCUGAGAGAGAGGGAUGAAACCCUAAGUUUUCUACUGCCAUUUUUGCCACCAUUCUCACUGCCGUUUUCGCUGCCGGCACCGUUAUCACUGUCGUGUCCGUUGCAGUAGAGAGCUUCUGGAUCGAGCCACCUCUUCUAUUAACGCAUCUGUUCUCUCUAUACUGUCGUUGCUACCACUGUUGCCACCGCAGUUUUCGCCACCGUUGCCGCCAUAGUUUUUGCCGUCGAUGCCACCGUAGUUGUUGUGGUACAACGCAUUUUCAGAUCUGUUCACUUCGGACUUCUUCUUCAACGACGCUUUCUCUCACUCCAAUUUCUCCUUUGAAUUGCUGCUGGAUUGCGGUGUUCGAACAAACAGGAAUUGGAAAGAAUGCCAGCCACAUAUGUUUCUUCAAUUUCAAUUAUUUCUCGAUGAUUUGAUUCUUUUUCAGGAGGCUUUUUUUUUUCUACAACGAAGAUCAUUGUUAUUCUGUUUGAAUGUUACUUAAUUUUAUUUUCUUUGCUAAAGUAUCAAUGCAAUUAUCUUAUUGACUCAAUGCAAUGAUCCUUUUGGAGCAGUCAGUAAUUCGGCUCUAUCAGACUACUACUUUUAAGCAAGUGAAGCUUUGAUUUUUUGAUACACACUGUGACAUGAACCUUUCCAAGGUAUUUGGACAUAAAUGUGUCUAGAUACAUUGAUUUUUCGAUGUACCAGAAAAGUAAGAGUGCUAAUUGGAAUGGAGGGAGUAGUUUUUCUCUUGAUCUCAUUAUGUUUAUUGACCAGUACUCCUAUUCAUGCAGCUUAAUGCAAUAGAAAAUGGUCCCUAUGAUUAUACCAGAAGUGGAAAUCCCACUCGAGAUGCUUUAGAAAGGUUCACUGUGUCCUGUUAGUUGUGUUUGUUUACCAUUGCAACUGCCAAUAUUGUGGCAUUAAUGUUUUCUUUUCCCACCAUGUUUUACCUUGCAUGAUGUGUUCUCAGUUUGUUGGUGAAACUUGAUAAGGCGGAUAGAGCCCUAUGCUUCAUCAGUGGAAUGGCUGCUCUGAGUGCUGUUUCUCUUCUUGUUCAAGCUGGUGAGAAAAUUGUUGCUGGAGAUGAUCUAUAUGGUGGAACAGACAGGUUGCUGUCCCGAGUAAUUCCAAGAAUGGCAUUGUGGUCAAUGAGCAAAUAGGUUUACAGAUUUAUUGUCAUUUAAGGGGUGGAGACCAGCUAUAACAGUGAAGCAAAUUCUUGUUGGUAUCCAGGAUUUGCUUGACCAGCCAAAUCCUGCUGAUCCUGCUUAGACAGAGGAAUAUCAUCUAUUUAUCCAGGAUGCUACAGAAUAUAAAAGAAGGGUCAGGCAGCAGGCAAAGCAAUACCCACCAAUAAUUUAGUGAUACAACAGCUCACCUUAGGAACUAUUUUUGCAUCGUAAAUGCUCUAAUACGCUAUAGCUUAAAACUGUGCAGCGUCAACAGCAGCACCUGAAAUAAACUCUGGUUGAUAGGGAAAGUUGCUGCAGAUCACAGUCACAAAUGGAUAUACAAAGAGCCUAAUGAACAAGAAAUCAACUUCUAGUCAGCGUGGCAUAAUUCAGCUGAUUCACAUCCUAGGACUUGGGAAGCACAGUUCCAAUCUCGAAUAAAGGUAGUAUUAUAUAUGAUAAUUAUGAUAAGAAAAUAAUAAACAUUUAUAUUCAUGUGUCUACAUCAUAGGAUCUUUAUUGUUUCUUGAUGCAUACCAUAGCUCUCAUUGCUGUAAGAGAAGGUGUUGUUCAAUUGGGAGCAAUUCACAAGGUUCUGUCUCUACUCUAUAUAUAUGAUUUGAAAUAAUUAAGUGUGUAAUUGUGGUUAAUUAGUGAUUAAUGAAUUAAGGUGAUUGAGGACUUGAGCUAUGUGGUUCUACUGAGGAAGAAAUUCAGCUACACAGAAAGCAACAUAAAUUAACUUGAUAAUGUUAAAAGGUCUUUUAGGAUUGGGACCUUCAGUGUAAUUAUAUACUAUUAAUGUUAAAAUUUUAGAGCUUAGUUUGUGUGUAUACUUUAAAUUUUUUUUUGUGUAUUUGUUUUAUGUAAUUAGAUGAUAUUGAAAUAUUAAAGUUGUUUUAUUUUACUUUUUAAAGAAAAACAGUAAUAGUUAUGUAGCACAA
This is a non-coding RNA of Arachis ipaensis, 2232 nucleotides long. The record is from RefSeq and is a predicted model, not a curated record. NCBI's taxonomy places the organism in Eukaryota, Viridiplantae, Streptophyta, Magnoliopsida, Fabales, Fabaceae.